Molecule: small nucleolar RNA, 194 nt
Organism: Urocitellus parryii (Arctic ground squirrel)
Lineage: Eukaryota; Metazoa; Chordata; Mammalia; Rodentia; Sciuridae
Gene: SNORA73
Rfam family: Small nucleolar RNA SNORA73 family
About the family: U17 (SNORA73A and SNORA73B) also known as E1 belongs to the H/ACA class of small nucleolar RNAs (snoRNAs). Vertebrate U17 is intron-encoded and ranges in length from 200-230 nucleotides, longer than most snoRNAs.
Source: Ensembl
CCAGCAUGGAUACUUAAGAGGGUGAGUCUCCCUGGGCUCUGUCCAGGUGACAUAGGGGAGCAUAGCACUCUUCCCCAUGAUGUACAGUUCCUUGGAGAUGUAGCUGGCCUUUGUGACUGUGCCUGCAUAUUUCUACAACUUCUCAAGAGUCUUGUGGACUAUGACUGAAGAGGCAAACUAUGCAGGAAACAAUA